RNAcentral lists this long non-coding RNA (11395 nucleotides) under Setaria viridis. RNAcentral's name for it is "long non-coding RNA (SVIR_LNC008561)". The record is from RNAcentral. Lineage: Eukaryota; Viridiplantae; Streptophyta; Magnoliopsida; Poales; Poaceae.
UGGGACGUACGGAUAUGGGCUGAAAUCCGGAUGUGGUCUUUUCUGAAGAGGGAGAUUUCUAUGCUUACGCUAAAGCCUUUCUAGUUUUAUGGGCUCUGUUUUGGGUCUCGGCCCAAGCAAGGGAGGUGGGUGACGUGGCGCCACACAUUUGGAGGAGCAAAUUCCAUCUCGCACGAAGUUGACGAGUGUCAAAUAGACUUUUCCUGUUUGUAUAAAGCAGCUUUGUUUCUGUUUUGUAUAUGGGCUGAUCUGUUUUGUUUGCAGGUUUUUCUUUAACCUUUUUGGGAUGAGCCCAAAAAUAUGAUAGCCUUGUUUCAGGGCACUACCAGUGUAUAUAUUUGUGUGAGUAUUCACAUGUGCACCAUGUUUAAAGAAGAAGACGACUAGUGUUUCAAAAGAGUUUUACUUUUAUUAAAUGACAUGUGAUACAUACAACUUUAAUGACAUGGUAAGAUGGUUACGAAGAGAGAGGGAGGAAGUUUCAUUACGAAUGGUCUUAUGUACGACACAAUAACAAGGUCUCAUAAACACACAAUCAUACUUGAAACGGCCACAAAAGUAAAUAUAUGGAAUGACCUUAUGCACGACAACAAUAACAUGGUCCAAUCAUGCAUGCAAAACAACCACAAAAGUAAAUCUAUGCAUGAAACAACCUCUAUACACCAACAAUCCAAUAAUAGUGCCAUCUUUAAUAUGUUUGUUCUAGAAGAGGGCCAAUAGGUUGGUGGCACAAUGGAAUGCAAGUGCCAAGCAGCUAUGACUCUCCACGGUGGGCCGUCGGCCCACUUGCAGGCCUCGUGCAUGCUCUAGCAAGUGUGUGCUAAUGAAAUUUUAAGUAGGCCAUGAAUACAUAGUACUCCUGCACUGUAGGAGACCGCUAUGUGAUACGCGCGUAGUAGGUAGGUACGUGUCACGAUGAGGCACACCGACAUUAAUACCACGAUUGGCAUUGCUUGGUAGGACACUGACGGCGGCUGGGCAGCCAAACGGACGGUGCUCCUAGAGCCAGGCAUGCACCAUCGUCGAUUGGCAGCUAGUUGAGAGCUAGCAAUACGUAUGGCGUAUGUGUACGCCUGCCUUCCUCUUUGUGUGUGUAGGAGUAUGUAUCAACGAUUUGUCUAUUUGGCAUGUACGAGUACGAGCUAGGAACUAUACGGACGACGUUUAUCUGACCUUGUGUCGAAACCGACGAUGGGAGACGUUCAUUCGUGGGUCGCUCUUACCUUCGUUGUUGAGAUGUCAUCCCGUGAUUAUACAGGCAUAGACCUAAUUCUAUUUUUUGGGAAACGUUCUGAUCUAGUUGGAGGCUUCGUUUUGGAGUCUCUCUUAAUUAUGUGAAGUUUUGGUUUGUGUCGGGUGCUAUUUAUCAUAUUUGCCGUGUUUACUUCGAAGUGUCAACUCACUACUGGAACUGAGCAUUCGUCCCGAGCUACCAAGCCUAACGACUAGUCCUCGAGGAGCCUCUCGUGAGGCCGUGACCCCCUUUAGUAGGGUGGAGGCUUCACCCGAUACUAGAGGUCACCAAACCUCCAACCGGUACUAAUGUGCCUGAGAGCCUUUACUAUUGGACGGAGACUUCUUUAGUACCGGGUGAAACCCUUACCCGAUAUAACGUCCAUCCUAUAAAUCCGGUUUCUUCUUCCUCCUGCCCGAACCACCCACCAAGCUCGAGCUUCAUCGGAAUGUGACCUAGGUGCUGCCGGAUUUUUUACCAUUUCUCGAGGAUUUCACUCAUUCAAGUGCUCUAAAGGCUAGAAACUUCAUCCUCCCUUGUUACAUGGUUAGUAUACUAAGUUUUAUGCUUUAGAGUUAGAAUAAUUUAUGAUUUUUAGAAUAAACUACAAUGGAAUUUUUUUUCAUUUAUAUGCAUAUGUUUUAUAUGUUUGAGCUCCAAUGGAUUGGAUGCUAUGUUUCGUAUUAAUUAAUUUUAUAGUUUAGUCCUUUACAAAUAUGAGCUAAAUAAAAUUGUGGGAAAAAAUAUAAUUUGUUCAUAGUUUAGUCAUUUGAAAAUAUGAGCUAAAUAAAUUGUGGUACGUAGAGAUAAUAAGAUGAAAUAGAGGUUUGUAAUUAGUCAUUUUUAGAAUAAGCUACAAUUCAUUUAUAUGUUAUGUUUGAGCUAUUUAAAUCGCGGGAAAAAAAUAUAAUUUGUUCAUAGCUUAGUCAUUUGCAAAUAUGAGCUAAUAAAUAAAUUGUGGUAUAUAGAGAUAAUUAAAUUUACAUGUUCGUAAUACUAAUUUAUUAUUGUAAAAUUUUAAAAAAUAAAGUGUUGUCCAAUCAAUAUGGCUACUACUGCUGGAGGGAGUGAUGAUGGUGGCAGCGAUCGUCGUUCCUCUCGCGGCAAGGGGAAACUCACAGUUGGCCCUCAUGAUAAACCGAAGAAAAUGAGCACGUGGAAGAGAGAACAAUGCUUUGUUAUUUGGAAAGAUGUCAUGAAGAUGUUGUUGCAGCGGGUCAGGAGUGGUCGUUAUGCUCCACCGCCAGUCCCGGAGGUUUCAGGUCCACCGAGUACUACCGUCGCAGGAGGCACAAAUAACCCAUAGGAUGAGGCUGGGUCAGCUAAACCUUCAUCUUUGCCAUCCAAGGAUGCUUAAAGUCCUCCCAGAUAGUACUCAGUGGAUGGUUUGUCAUAGGUACCAUGUUGUUUGGGUCUGAAAUUUAAAUUUGUGUAUUUCUAUCUAAACUUUCAGCAACGUUUGAGUUUUAUAAAAUGUGUAUCAUGUUUGUUAUGCUUGAUAAUUUUAUGGAUGAUCAGAACAUCUUUAAUUCGGUAAUACUUUGUAGAUGGAUCGACAAUGGAUGUACAACGUGGACAAAUGCUUCAUGGAGUACAUUAAUGGCUUGCGUAGUUUUCUGGCAGAGUUCAACAAGCCACCGUCCGGUUUUAUUUGCUGUCCAUGCAGAAAUUGCAAAAAUGAGAAGGAUUACUCAUCCAGAAAGACUACUUAUGCUCACAUAUACAGUUCAAGAUUCAUGCCUAACUAUUUUGUUUGGACUAAGCACGAUGAAAGAGGAGUUAUGCUGGAAGAUGAUGAUGAUGAAGAAGAAGAAGAUGACAUUCCGGACUGGACUCAAGGAGGUGCCUUUGCAUAUGCUGCAAUGGGCGAGGCUGAAGAAGGUUGCAGAAGAAGGUCCUACCGAUGAUCUAGGUCAGGUGCUGCGAGACGCAAAGGAAGACUGCAAGAAUGUGAAGGAGUCAAAGAAGUUCGAGCGUAUAUUAGAUGAUCAUAAGAAAUUGUUAUACCAAGAUUGCAAACAGGGGCGCAAAAAGUUAGGUACCACACUGAAAAUGCUGCAAUGGAAGGCAAAAAAUGGAGUUUUUGAUAAGGGUUUUGAUGAGCAGUAUACGUAAAUGAAACAAAUACAAAAUACUAAUAUAGAAUAAAUAAAUGGAAAAGAAAAUGAGAAAAGAAACAGAAAACAGAACUUAAUACAUAUAGUAAUACCGGUUGCACGACUGGUACUAGGGAGGUUCCCACCCGAUACUCAAUGCGCAUUCCCCACUGCAUGGCUAAUCCAAGGUGUUCAUCACGACUCUGAUGUAUUCUGGGAAGAAGAUAUCUUAAAUUGAAAAUAUGUUUAGUCUUAGAAAAAAUUAUUGAAGCAUCUCAAAUGUUGGGUAAGAAAAGAAAAUUAUUGAAGCAUGCAUGGGCAAGGCUCGCGUGGUACAUAGGACCAUAUAUGCAUGCAUGUGAAGGCAUAUGCAGCAUGCAUUUAGGCAGGCGCAAUGGACGCGGAGGUAACAGUGAGGAGUGGAGCUAUUUAGCAGUCGCGUCGUCCGGCCCAUGCAGUUGUCCAUCGCUAGCAGCUCGAUGAUGCAGCUGUGGGUGACACGUCUGGACUCUGGACAAACGAGUUUCGGCAACCGUCGGUGCUUCGUGCUUGUGCAUCUGUCUGUCACUCUGGAGCACAACAAGCACCGACGUCGUCGUCUAUAAUUUGCUGGACAAUUCAUCACUUAGUUAAUUUACCAACGGCUAACCUCCUGCAUGAGUACGUGUCUUCAAUUUGUUUCUGGUGGCAGCCAUUAAAUCCAAUACUAGAAUUCAAUUCACCCUGCUGCUGCCUCAACUGCACACUGACCAUCAUCUGCUGGCCCAACUGCCAACUACCUCCUGCCGGUCUCUUAACUCCCCAUCCGAUCGAGACCGACACCAACGACAGGGAUCCACCGACUGAAACUGAUGCACUGGACACCAUGGCCGUGGCCAUGCAUGCACCCUCGUCAGUCAUCGCUCACAGAUCUGACAGACCACAUACAGAGGUCGAUCGUAACCCUAUUUAAAGACCAACAUUCCCUCCUCACCAGCAAAGCAAAGCACAUUUCUUCCCAAGCAGCAAGCUAAACCACAUCCGAUCCAUCGAGCGCAGCUAGCAGCUAACACAACAGCAAGACAGCAUCAUGGCUCGCGCUCAGGUGGUGGUGCUCGCCGUCGUGGCCGUGGUGCUGCUCGCCGCGGCGGCCUCCGAGGCCGCCAUCAGCUGCGGCCAGGUCAACUCCGCCAUCGGCCAGUGCCUCCCUUACGCCCGCGGCCAGGGCUCCAAACCCUCCGACGCCUGCUGCAGCGGCGUCAGGAGACUCAACUCCGCCGCCACGACCACCGCCGACAGGCGCGCCGCAUGCAACUGCCUCAAGAACGCCGCCAGGGGGAUCAGCGGCCUCAACGCCGGCAACGCCGCCAGCAUCCCAUCCAAGUGCGGCGUCAGCAUCCCCUACUCCAUCAGCACCUCCACCGACUGCUCCAGGUAACUAUUAAUUAACACCUAUGGAUCCAUCAUGCAUCUCUCAUCGAUCCCCAAAUUAAAGUACAAGCAUUUCGAUUAAAAUUCUUGCUUCGAUCAUGCAGGGUGAGCUAAACGACCGCUCCGAAGCCUGCCUGCCUCCACCGUCGCUACAUACCUAUACAUGUAUGAGUUGACUGAUGAAUAAGAUCUCUCUCCGCCGUCGUGUACGCUAUUAUACGCUUGCUGGUAGUGUGUGCGUCGUCCUUCAUGUGUGAGAGAGGAGUCCUCCGAUCCUUGUGUCGUCGUCAUCCCUGCUACGUUUUGUACGUGUGCUCCUCCGUUUCCGUUUAUGGAGGAGACCGAGUCUGUACCUUGUCCAGUACCUUAUUAUAAUACACACUACACCUCUCUUUUUGGUAUGCUCCAUGACUUUCGAUGCUUUCUGCUUCGUCUCUCUGCACUUUUUUUUUUCUUUUACAGUUUUACUUACUAUUUGUCCUAAGUGCGUAAAAUCAACAUAUUGCUCUUUCACCAUCCUAGAUGGUUGGAUAAAAAAAACACAAUAUUUAGUAUUAGCUAGGACGAUGGGGAUUGGAAAAUGGUUUUCCAAUCACCUGAAAAUUAGUCUUACAUUUCUAUCAGAAGCGCAUGGCACACAAUACUCGCAACCAAUACAAGUCAUUUCUUCAAAGGGAAGAUGAUUAUAUUAAAGAUAAACAGACAGUACAUCCCACAAUUUUAUAAUAAUUAAUACAUGAAUCGGUUAACCUGAAAAAUAAAGAAAAAAUCGCUGGGUCAAAUAAAAAAUAAACUAGAAAACGUAGCUCUAGGUGCGCCGUCAUCAGGAUGAGCUAAUUCAAAAAGUUGGAUUAAAUGGUAUUAAUUUGGUAAUAGUAGAUUAUAAGUAUUUACCAUAUUUAUCCAAAGGCAGGUAGGGCCUUGUCACAUGGAGAUUUUACUCCAGCUCUAGGUGCAUGCGAAUGAUGGAAAUUCAAAAGAAAAGUUGUUGCUCACCGCCUCCGAUGGAUAGGGGGGCAAGUAGAAUGUUUUGCUACUGAUCAACACGAUACAUCUCGGUAGAAAGUGAAUUCCGUAACGCUAUGGGUGGAGUGGGGAAAAUCAUUUCUCUUUGCUUCCUCCCUCAGGGCUGUAUAUAUGUAAUAGUUUUGGGCAACAAUUCGUUUCCUGCAAUAACUAGGAAAAUUAUAAUUCCAAUGUUUCAAACACGCCCUUACACUAUUGCCAGCUUCAUAGGAGCCGCAACAUGCAUGGAUAUGUCCCCCAAGUGUUAUCCACUGCUGGCAGAACAAACCUUGGGUUCGUGUUGGUUCUUGUUUUUUUUUUCGAAUGAAAAGAGAGCGUUACUGACUAAAUGGGAGUAUGAUUACAAUCAGCUUGGAUAAGAUCAGCUACGCACGCAGGCGCUUGACCCAACCAAACUGCAGUGUGAGUGUUCCUCCUAGCUAAUUGAGCUAAUUCGUUUGCAACUCGAUUUCGCUCUCUUUUCACUUGGAUGAUUUUCCAUCCUCUCAGCAGACGCACCUGCUCCAAUGCCUCUUCCACCAAGAAGCCGACCUCUUGUUAUGAGCCGGCAUGGAUACUCCUAACAAUUAAGAGCCGGCAUGGAUAGUUUUUGAGGUAUCCGUGCUAGCUCCUGUUACGAAGCGACUUUGAUAUGACUUUUUUUACGAGCCUACAUUAAUACUUUUUUUUUAAAAUUUGUCAUUUGAAUUUCAGUUUGUUUUGAAAUUUAUAAAAGUUUCAUAUGCAAACAAAAAUAAACCAAGCUGAACCUUUUUUGAGUUACAUAAUAACGUUGAACCUUUUUUGAGUUACAUAAUAACAUUGAACCUUUUUUGUAUAUAUAUGCAUGUGAAAUAUGAUAAUUCAAAAAAAAACUAGACAAAUAUUUGAAAGCAAACAAAACAUUUGAAUGUGGAGAAAAAUAAUUGGAAGAAAAUACAAAUAAGAACAGAGAGAUAAAUAAAGUGGGCCUAGGGCCAAUUAUCUAGUCAUCCACAUGCUCUCUUGGGCUACUACUGAUCCACGCCGAGUGCGCCCAAGGAGGCCUUACAAAAGUUCUAUCCAAGUAGGCCUUUGAUUGUUCCUAGUCCCAGAACUACUUUAAAGUAUGUUGGGCCGGCCUAUAUUCUCAUAUGUAGUUUCUACUUCCAUUACCGUAGCCUAGAUAAGGAUAAGCAUAUAGAGGAAUUUGUUUCUUCAUCAUAUCAUGUCUUAAAAAGUAUGUUGGCUCUCUUGUGAUGCAAUAUGAUUUUUUAUUAUUUACCGGCCUAGCUAUGAGCUAAUUCAGUAAAAGGUCUUAAGAGCAGUGUUUCCUUUCCAAAUGAGAUAUUACUGUGAAUGGAGAUUUUGCACCAAACUACUAGUAGUAUGGAGCUAUGAGCUUGUGGUUGUAGUGUAGAAGCAUAAUGUCCUAGACCGAGAUUUUCAACAUAUAGAAAAUUAAAUGUGAACUAGCACUACCGAAAGAAAUUGUCAUUACUGCAAGUUUAAUUUUCUGUUGGUUCACCAGGUUUUGGACUAGUGGCUCUGGCUGGAGCACUGAAAAGAUUUCACCGUUCCUUUGGCAGUACAAGGGUAAGGCAAAAAGGACAACCUAUACACAUGAUCAGUCUUUGUUAACAGAGACGAAUAGUCAUCGUCAUGAUCAAUCAGUUAGGGACAGGGGCGGAGCCACGCCACCCCCCCCCCCCCCCCCCCCCCCCCCCCAAGGACUGGGAUCCUAGACAGUUGGUAUAAGCCUGAUCAGCUAGCCUAAUGAAGUUCGAUGCUUACAACUAAAUUUAAAUUAGGUUGCUUUUAGUUUUAUAAAUUGUUGAAUGAAGCUACACACAAUCUAGUUCAUUCUUUUCUAUUUUGCUGGAGGCUAUUAUGUCCAUAUACUCAUAUGGUAUUUUAUUAUAUAUCUUUGUCCAUGUGAUAUUUUUUUUCAAGAAUUAGCCACGCUCUAAUUAAGCAACAAUGCACAAUACCAACGACCUAGUCGAUGAUUAGACAUUUAGACAACGCUAGGUAGGAUAAAUGGGCAAAAAAAAAAGGUUAAAUGGUGGCGUCGAGUAUCAUGGAGAGCUAGACCUAAGUCCUGGCUACGCCCCUGGUUAGAGAGUGAGAGCGUCAACGUAUGUAGAACCCGUGAACCUAGUAGCUAAUAGUAGGAAAAAGACAGCCUAUACACAUGAUCAAUCCUUGUCGUUGUGAUGAACAGAUGAUAUUUUUUUCUUUUUGCCUAGCUAAUGAUAUGGUAAUUCUUCCCCGCAAAAAGAAAUGAUAUGAUAAUUCUAUUGGUUCUACGAGACAAACUUAGUUGAUUCAUUUACUUAUCAUUAAGACAACAAAUUGUAGAUGAUCAGCUCUUUAUUAUUUUUUUCACGUGCCUAAAUUAUAAAAUUAAAGAUUAAGGAGCCAACAAAUUAUACGGCGCUAUUUGCAUGAUGUGAAGUUGGAAUUGAAGUUAGUUGGUUGCAUGUGAACACAGGUCGUGGCUGAGAAGCCUCCACGCGUUGCGUAUGGAAGAGAGAGAGCAAUGCCAAUUAGCUAUAGCAAUGGAAUGUUUGCUGGUGAUGGAUGGGAGCUUGUUGGCUGGCUAGUCUUUGCAUCCAUGUACGGAGACGUGGCAACAAACAUUUUGAGGCCGCCACUACUGUCAAAGACAAAUGAUGAAUCGAUUGAUGGAAGCUGGGCUUGCUACUUGACCUGAUAACUAGGCUAACUACUGCAACACACUGAGCAUGAGAUUAUUAAACGACGGCGACCGGAAACUACUUUUUGGGAAUGUUAGUUAAUUUAUUUACAGCGCAAUCGACGCAUAGUGGCAACUGGUUUCUUGGAAUGUAUGUAUACAUCAUCGCAUCAGCAGGGUAUCCUUACUGGAUCCUAUUACUGUUGAGAUGUUGUGCUAUAAUACACCUGGGUGCAUCAUGUAGAAUGCACCCAGGCCAGCAGACGCACCACGUUGGAGCAACCAGCGCACCCAAUCAAACAUGUGGUGCAUACUUCCUAAGUUAAUUUGUAUCUUCCACCUACUAAAUAAAGUCACCUAGUAUACAAAUCCCAUCAGACAGCAUGCAUGCAUGCAUGGAAUCUUUUGUUGGUUCAAAUAUUUGAAACAAAUUUUCUCCUAAACCGUAACCCGAUUGGCAAACCGUUUGUUGCAUCUGGCUUAAAAAAAUAUGCUUAAUAAAACUAGAUCCAAUAUGGAUAUAUUUUUUUAUCGUUUAAGCGAGUUGCAUAUCAAUGUGCUAUCGAUUGCAACUCUGUCUACCACCGAGUUGCGACUAGUUAUAACUCUGUGUAUUAUAUGCAUCUGGUCACUAUAAUCACGUCAAGUUGCAAUUCCGAGUUGCAAUCAUACCUUGUUGCAACCAGAGUACCAACCGUGUUGCAACCGAGUAGUAACUAGUUACAAUCAGUAGUGAUUGGUUGCAAGUCUAUUUAGUAGGAAGUAUAUCUGGAUGAAAUUAGAGUAGCAACUGGAUGCAACUGAGUAUUAAAUAAUUGCAACCAUAAGUAACAAGUGCUAAAUAGGCUACAAUCAAGUUGCAAUUGGGUUGCAGACGUUCUUGCAACUCAAAGUACAACUUAGUUGUAAUUAUAUACUUAAAAAAACUUCAUCAAAUAUAGCCUUCAUGGAUCUCGUUGUGUUAAACACAUUUUUCCAACAACGUGCUUCAAACGAAAAUUGAACUUAUGGUUUAUCAGAUAUCGUAUUUUUUCGUUUCGAAUCAAUAAAAGUUCCUACAUGCAUGCUUCUGAUGAGUAGGUUGAGCUGUGAGGUGGCGUCACGUGUUAGUUGUCUCCAGGAGCGUGAGCUUUCCUUGAUGCGUGAAUUAGUUUGCGCGAGGGACAUAGGAUGGGAGUUUGCAGCAUAUGUGAUGCAUCAUUCUUCGUACAUUUGGAUUGCGACCGAUAAUUUAAAUCAGCUGAUAAAUUAAAUGGAUGGAAAAUUGCAGCACUAAUUCCAGUACUAUAGUUCAACGGCCAACGACCUGGCAGCGAUGGCCAUUAAUCCACCACCAUUAUUCAAUCAUGCUACCUAUAGCUCCUCCCUGAUCUAUUUAAACCCUCAUGAUCCUGCUCAUUCCAUCCCCUACAGCCAUCCACACUCAUCGAUCGAGCUAGCAGUUGGUUAGCAGCUUAUUAGCACACGCGACCGAUUGUAUAAUACAAUGGCUCCGAUGAGGAAGAUGCAGGCGGUGUUCGCCCUGGCCAUGGUGUUCGCGGCGGCGGCGCUGGUGGCGUCGUCGUCGGCGGCGAUCACCUGCGGUCAGGUGGCGUCGUCGCUGGCGCCGUGCAUCCCGUACGCGACGGGGAACGCCAACGCGAUGCCCUCGGGUUGCUGCGGCGGCGUGCGCAGCCUCAACAACGCGGCGCGCACCAGCGCGGACCGGCAGGCGGCGUGCCGGUGCCUCAAGAGCCUCGCCGGCACCAUCAAGAAGCUCAACAUGGGCACCGUCGCCGGCAUCCCCGGCAAGUGCGGCGUCUCCGUGCCAUUCCCCAUCAGCAUGUCCACCGACUGCAACAAGUACGUACUCGCUCCAUUCACCAUCCACCUAUUUGCAGUAAUUUAACCCUACAUGUCUCACUUAUACACAUGCGUCUCUCUAUUAUCGAUUCUUUGGCGCAGGGUCAGCUAAAUUCUACGUCAAUCCUACCUCAUGAUGAAGCUCCAUCAGAAACUAGCGAGCUAGCAAAAUAAAAUAAAGUUGUGGCAGCAGCAUCAGCAUCAUCGAUCAUCUUAUACAUAGUAACUGCCAUACUAUGUAUGCGUAUGUGCACAUGCACAUAUAUACUACUCUACAUGGCUAGCUAUACGUGUGUACGUGUCGCAAAGUGCUGGAAGCUGGCUUCUCGGACGAUGUGCGCUCCAUCAUAUGAUCUAUAUGCACCUCUGUGUUGUUUGAACAAGGAAUAGUGCUACUAUUAAUCGUUUUGCUCUGUUGCUGUCGGUGGUGCGUGCUCUGAUUUAACAUCCAUAUAUCCUGGUGCAUCUUUCAUUAUAUUUGAUGGUUAAAGUAAAACUUCAUUGUAAACUUGGUGAAAACAAACCUAAAGAGACACCCUUUGCGGGACGAAACCUGUAUUGUUGGAAAUGCAUGGAAGUAUGAGCAAAACACGGAGGAACGGUACGAAUAGUAGGAAAAAGUGGCCCCAGGUUCGACGCUGUCGCUAAUUAACCACUAAUUACAACUCACGUGUCAGCCAAAUUCUGCACCUAAUCAACAAAUUCUAACAAACACUUGCAGCUCCAUGGGCAAGUACAGCUACUGAUCGUACUAUUAGCCAGUGCCCAGCAGUGAUGUGCGAGCUUAACAUUAAUUGCUUACACGGAACGGAAGGCACAAAUUAAAUUAAGCUGAUAAAAUUAAACGUACAAUUUCGCUCUCACCUCCACAGCUGCAUGCGAUACACGGAACUGCCAGACGUGACAUGGACCCAAGCGGCUAAGACGAGUCUCCUGCCUACUACACGUACGUCUCAAUCGACUCUCGUGGCAAACAAACAAAAAAGAAACAUCCUCUUGCUCUGUUCUUCCUCACAAAUGCGAUCCAGCCAUCCAUGCAUUGCGACCUCAGCUGCAGGGAGCGACUACUCUUAGCGACAACCACGACAUUGACACGUGCGGCACCAAAUAUUUUAGCACACAGGCCAUAAU